This 128-nucleotide small RNA is filed under the name Escherichia coli. RNAcentral's name for it is "partial RtT sRNA". It matches the Rfam family "RtT RNA". Rfam says of the family: This family represents a bacterial cis-regulatory element known as RtT RNA. The exact function of RtT is unknown although it is thought that it may be involved in changing the cellular response in relation to amino acid starvation. The record is from RNAcentral. Lineage: Bacteria; Pseudomonadati; Pseudomonadota; Gammaproteobacteria; Enterobacterales; Enterobacteriaceae.
UGCCCAUGCGGGGAAGGAUGAGAAGCUUCGACUAAGGUUCGGCUCGAGCGUCAGCGAGAGAGCGUUGCCGCAGGCAACGACCCGAAGGGCGAAGCGCGCAGCGCUGAGUAAUCCUUCCCCCACCACCA